Molecule: long non-coding RNA, 294 nt
Organism: Pipra filicauda (Wire-tailed manakin)
Lineage: Eukaryota; Metazoa; Chordata; Aves; Passeriformes; Pipridae
Exons: 3
Source: RefSeq, a predicted model, not a curated record
CAUCUAGGCUGCAGGAUGGGAAAGCGCAGAGGAUCUAAGAUUGAGGAUUCUGAGGGAAAAGACAGAUCAAAGGAAGGAGAGCAUCAUUUCUCCAGUCAGGGAACUUGGAAUGAGUGGGCAGCCUGUGCUGAAGGAGAAAGCAAAAUGAAGCAGCCCAGGCUCUCAAUCAACACGAUAAUUGAGUCCAGUGGUGGAAUUCUCCAGGAGGAAGCUAAGUAGCUGCUACUUUGGACUCACAACAUCCUGCAGAGAUGCUGAGUGCCUCAAAGAGCCUAAGCAGUAGGAUUGUGGUCU